CUUGCACCUGAUGGCGAGUGGCGAACGGGUGAGUAAUGCAUCGGAACGUACCCGGAAGUGGGGGAUAACGUAGCGAAGUUACGCUAAUACCGCAUAUUCUGUGAGCAGGAAAGCGGGGGAUCGCAAGACCUCGCGCUUCCGGAGCGGCCGAUGUCGGAUUAGCUAGUUGGCGGGGUAAAAGGCCCACCAAGGCAACGAUCCGUAGCGGGUCUGAGAGGAUGAUCCGCCACACUGGGACUGAGACACGGCCCAGACUCCUACGGGAGGCAGCAGUGGGGAAUUUUGGACAAUGGGGGCAACCCUGAUCCAGCCAUGCCGCGUGAGUGAAGAAGGCCUUCGGGUUGUAAAGCUCUUUCGGCUGGGAAGAAAUCGCAUCUCCUAAUACGGGGUGUGGAUGACGGUACCAGCAUAAGAAGCACCGGCUAACUACGUGCCAGCAGCCGCGGUAAUACGUAGGGGUGCGAGCGUUAAUCGGAAUUACUGGGCGUAAAGCGUGCGCAGGCGGUUUCGUAAGACAGAGGUGAAAUCCCCGG
Molecule: ribosomal RNA, 533 nt
Filed under: uncultured bacterium
Lineage: Bacteria
Description: bacterial SSU rRNA
Rfam family: Bacterial small subunit ribosomal RNA
Source: RNAcentral